GCCUCCAUCGCAUAGUGGUAUUGCACUCGGCUUGAGACCGAGGCCCUUUGGGCUCACAGGUUCGAUUCCUGUUGGGGGCG
This 80-nucleotide transfer RNA is filed under the name Nanobdellota archaeon. Its description in RNAcentral is "tRNA-Ser". It matches the Rfam family "tRNA". From Rfam's summary of the family: Transfer RNA (tRNA) molecules are approximately 80 nucleotides in length. Their secondary structure includes four short double-helical elements and three loops (D, anti-codon, and T loops). Further hydrogen bonds mediate the characteristic L-shaped molecular structure. tRNAs have two regions of fundamental functional importance: the anti-codon, which is responsible for specific mRNA codon recognition, and the 3' end, to which the tRNAs corresponding amino acid is attached (by aminoacyl-tRNA synthetases). tRNAs cope with the degeneracy of the genetic code in two manners: having more than one tRNA (with a specific anti-codon) for a particular amino acid; and 'wobble' base-pairing, i.e. permitting non-standard base-pairing at the 3rd anti-codon position. Lineage: Archaea; Nanobdellati; Nanobdellota. The record is from RNAcentral.